GUUGUAUGGUUAAGUGACUAAGCGUACACGGUGGAUGCCUUGGCAGUCAGAGGCGAUGAAGGACGUGCUACCCUGCGAAAAGGGUUGGUGAGCUGGGAUGGAGCGCUAUAGCCAACCAUGUCCGAAUGGGGAAACCCACCUAAGAUAACUUAGGUAUCGUUAAGUGAAUACAUAGCUUAACGAGGCGAACCGGGAGAACUGAAACAUCUAAGUACCCCGAGGAAAAGAAAUCAACCGAGAUUCCGUUAGUAGCGGCGAGCGAACGCGGAGCAGCCCAGAGCCUGAAUCAGUGGAUGCGUUAGUGGAACGGAUUGGAAAGUCCGGCGAUACAGGGUGAUAGCCCCGUACACGAAGACGCAUUGCUGUGAGCUCGAUGAGUAGGACGGGACACGUGGUAUCCUGUUUGAAGAUGGGGGGACCAUCCUCCAAGGCUAAAUACUCCUGACUGACCGAUAGCGAACCAGUACCGUGAGGGAAAGGCGAAAAGAACCCCUGUGAGGGGAGUGAAAUAGAACCUGAAACCGUGUACGUACAAGCAGUGGGAGCACCUUCGUGGUGUGACUGCGUACCUUUUGUAUAAUGGGUCAGCGACUUACAUUUUGUAGCGAGGUUAACCGAAUAGGGGAGCCGUAGGGAAACCGAGUCUUAAUAGGGCGAAUUAGUUGCAAGGUGUAGACCCGAAACCCGGUGAUCUAGCCAUGGGCAGGUUGAAGGUUGGGUAACACUAACUGGAGGACCGAACCGACUAAUGUUGAAAAAUUAGCGGAUGACUUGUGGCUGGGGGUGAAAGGCCAAUCAAACCGGGAGAUAGCUGGUUCUCCCCGAAAGCUAUUUAGGUAGCGCCUCGGACGAACACCUACGGGGGUAGAGCACUGUUAAGGCUAGGGGGUCAUCCCGACUUACCAACCCUUUGCAAACUCCGAAUACCGUAGAGUGCUAUCCGGGAGACACACGGCGGGUGCUAACGUCCGUCGUGAAGAGGGAAACAACCCAGACCGCCAGCUAAGGUCCCAAAGUCAUGGUUAAGUGGGAAACGAUGUGGGAAGGCUUAGACAGCUAGGAUGUUGGCUUAGAAGCAGCCAUCAUUUAAAGAAAGCGUAAUAGCUCACUAGUCGAGUCGGCCUGCGCGGAAGAUGUAACGGGGCUAAACCAUGCACCGAAGCUGCGGCAAUGACACUUAGGUGUUAUUGGGUAGGGGAGCGUUCUGUAAGCGGUUGAAGGUGUACUGUGAGGUAUGCUGGACGUAUCAGAAGUGCGAAUGCUGACAUAAGUAACGAUAAAGCGGGUGAAAAGCCCGCUCGCCGGAAGACCAAGGGUUCCUGUUCAACGUUAAUCGGAGCAGGGUGAGUCGACCCCUAAGGCGAGGCUGAAAAGCGUAGUCGAUGGGAAACGGGUUAAUAUUCCCGUACUUGUGGUAACUGCGAAGGGGGGACGGAGAAAGUUAGGCUAUCCGGGCGACGGUUGUCCCGGUUUAAGCGUGAAGGUGGAGAGACUAGGCAAAUCCGGUCUUUCAUUAACACUGAGGCGUGAUGACGAAGCACUACGGUGCUGAAGUAGCUGAUACUACGCUUCCAGGAAAAGCCUCUAAGCAUCAGGUUACCAGAAAUCGUACCCCAAACCGACACAGGUGGUCAGGUAGAGAAUACUCAGGCGCUUGAGAGAACUCGGGUGAAGGAACUAGGCAAAAUGGUGCCGUAACUUCGGGAGAAGGCACGCUGAUGGUAGGUGAAGUCCCUUGCGGAUGGAGCUGAACUCAGUCGAAGAUACCAGCUGGCUGCAACUGUUUAUUAAAAACACAGCACUGUGCAAACACGAAAGUGGACGUAUACGGUGUGACGCCUGCCCGGUGCCGGAAGGUUAAUUGAUGGGGUUAGCGAAAGCGAAGCUCUUGAUCGAAGCCCCGGUAAACGGCGGCCGUAACUAUAACGGUCCUAAGGUAGCGAAAUUCCUUGUCGGGUAAGUUCCGACCUGCACGAAUGGCGUAAUGAUGGCCAGGCUGUCUCCACCCGAGACUCAGUGAAAUUGAAAUCGCUGUGAAGAUGCAGUGUACCCGCGGCAAGACGGAAAGACCCCGUGAACCUUUACUAUAGCUUGACACUGAACAUUGAGCCUUGAUGUGUAGGAUAGGUGGGAGGCAUUGAAACGUGAACGCCAGUUUGCGUGGAGCCGACCUUGAAAUACCACCCUUUAAUGUUUGAUGUUCUAACGUUGUCCCGUAAUCCGGGAUACGGACAGUGUCUGGUGGGUAGUUUGACUGGGGCGGUCUCCUCCUAAAGAGUAACGGAGGAGCACGAAGGUUAGCUAAGCAUGGUCGGACAUCAUGCGGUUAGUGCAAAGGCAGAAGCUAGCUUAACUGCGAGACGGACAGGUCGAGCAGAUACGAAAGUAGGUCUUAGUGAUCCGGUGGUUCUGAAUGGAAGGGCCAUCGCUCAACGGAUAAAAGGUACUCCGGGGAUAACAGGCUGAUACCGCCCAAGAGUUCAUAUCGACGGCGGUGUUUGGCACCUCGAUGUCGGCUCAUCACAUCCUGGGGCUGAAGUUGGUCCCAAGGGUAUGGCUGUUCGCCAUUUAAAGUGGUACGCGAGCUGGGUUUAGAACGUCGUGAGACAGUUCGGUCCCUAUCUGUCGUGGGCGUUGGAUGAUUGAGGGGGGCUGCUCCUAGUACGAGAGGACCGGAGUGGACGCAUCUCUGGUGUUCCGGUUGUCACGCCAGUGGCAUUGCCGGGUAGCUAAAUGCGGAAGAGAUAAGCGCUGAAAGCAUCUAAGCGCGAAACUUGCCCCGAGAUGAGUCAUCCCUGAGGCUUAGAGCCUCCUAAAGGGUUGUUGGAGACUACGACGUAGAUAGGCAGGGUGUGUAAGCGUAGCGAUACGUUGAGCUAACCUGUACUAAUUGCCCGUGAGGCUUAACCAUACAACGCCAAAG
This 2923-nucleotide ribosomal RNA is filed under the name Plesiomonas shigelloides. RNAcentral's name for it is "23S ribosomal RNA". It matches the Rfam family "Bacterial large subunit ribosomal RNA". The record is from RNAcentral. Lineage: Bacteria; Pseudomonadati; Pseudomonadota; Gammaproteobacteria; Enterobacterales; Enterobacteriaceae.